Molecule: ribosomal RNA, 468 nt
Filed under: uncultured bacterium
Lineage: Bacteria
Description: partial 16S ribosomal RNA
Rfam family: Bacterial small subunit ribosomal RNA
Source: RNAcentral
GACGAACGCUGGCGGCGUGCUUAACACAUGCAAGUCGAACGGAAAGGCCCUGCUUUUGUGGGGUGCUCGAGUGGCGAACGGGUGAGUAACACGUGAGUAACCUGCCCUUGACUUUGGGAUAACUUCAGGAAACUGGGGCUAAUACCGGAUAGGAGCUCCUGCUGCAUGGUGGGGGUUGGAAAGUUUCGGCGGUUGGGGAUGGACUCGCGGCUGAUCAGCUUGUUGGUGGGGUAGUGGCUUACCAAGGCUUUGACGGGUAGCCGGCCUGAGAGGGUGACCGGCCACAUUGGGACUGAGAGACGGCCCAGACUCCUACGGGAGGCAGCAGUGGGGAAUAUUGCACAAUGGGCGGGAGCCUGAUGCAGCAACGCCGCGUGCGGGAUGACUGCCUUCGGGUUGUAAACCGCUUUCGCCUGGGACGAAGCGUGAGUGACGGUAAUGGGUAAAGAAGCACCGGCUAACUACGUG